This 264-nucleotide ribosomal RNA is filed under the name Triticum aestivum (bread wheat). RNAcentral's name for it is "partial small subunit ribosomal RNA". The record is from RNAcentral. Lineage: Eukaryota; Viridiplantae; Streptophyta; Magnoliopsida; Poales; Poaceae.
AUGGCUUCAUCCGGUUCCAGGACAAGGCCGCCGUGUGCUGAUCGUGAAGACAUGCCGAACAAGUGGCAGAACGCCAAGCUGGACGAGGUGAAGGAAAAAGAUAUGAAAACUCCAUCAUGUUGGUGUGGAGAUGUUUGCAAGGUGAAGGUGUCCACCGACCGCAAGAAGUCAUGGACGGAAGGGAGAAGAUUCUUUGUGUGUCCCAACUAUGCACAUGAUCGGGCGCUUCCAACAAACGCCUAUGAUGUACCACCGGUAUGGUAA